CACAAAAGUUUGGUCCUAGCCUUACUAUCGAUUACCACCCAACUUACACAUGCAAGUCUCCGCGCCCCAGUGAAAACGCCCUUAAACCCCUCUUAGGGGUAAGGAGCUGGUAUCAGGCACAAUAUUAGCCGAAUACACCUAGCCUUGCCACACCCCCAAGGGUAUCUCAGCAGUGAUUAACAUUGAACAUUAACGACAGUUAGAUUCAGUCAGGGUAAUUAGAGCCGGCCAAUCUGGUGCCAGCCGCCGCGGUUACACCAUGAGGCUCAAAUCGAUAUCAUCGGCACAAAGCGUGAUUAAAGCACACCCACACUAGAAUGAAAAUUAAACUAGGCAGUAAUAAGCUCGUUUAACAUAAACCCAAACACGAAAGUUAUUCUAGAUAAACCCACUUGACUCACGACAGCCAGGACACAAACUUGGAUUAGAGACCCAACUAUGCCCGGCCGUAAACUUAAUUCAAUAAAAAUCGCCAGAGAACUACGAGUCAUACUUAAAACUCAAAGGACUUGACGGUGCCCCAAAUCCCACUAGAGGAGCCUGUCCUAUUAUCGAUGAUCCCCGUUAGACCUCACCCCUCCUAGCCUAUCAGCCUGUAUACUUCCGUCGCCAGCCCACCACGUAAGCGUGAUCAAGUGUGCCCUCCGCCCAACUCGCAUGAACGUCAGGUCAAAGUGCAGCACAUGGAAGGGGAAGAGAUGGGCUACAUUCUCUAUUUUAGAGUAAACGGAAAACCACACAUGAAAUAAGGUUGGAAGGCGGAUUUAGAAGUAAGGGAGGAAUAGAGCGCCCCCUUGAACCUGGCACUGGGGUGUGUACACACCGCCCGUCGCCCCCCUCAAAGCCACUCAUAAGUAAAUAACACACCAAAGCCCAAAAGAGGGGGUAAGUCGUAACAUGGUAAGUAUACCGGAAGGUGUUCUUGGAAA
Molecule: non-coding RNA, 929 nt
Filed under: Craugastor lineatus (montane robber frog)
Lineage: Eukaryota; Metazoa; Chordata; Amphibia; Anura; Craugastoridae
Description: 12S ribosomal RNA
Rfam family: Bacterial small subunit ribosomal RNA
Source: RNAcentral